RNAcentral lists this long non-coding RNA (1332 nucleotides) under Mus musculus (house mouse). RNAcentral's name for it is "long non-coding RNA chr7:118735684-118737016". Lineage: Eukaryota; Metazoa; Chordata; Mammalia; Rodentia; Muridae. The record is from RNAcentral.
UAAAUUUCAUUCAUGAAAUUUUUUUCUAAUUUUAAACACCCAGAAUCCCAUGUCCUUUGACUUGCAGUGUAGCUAUCUAGAAUGAAACACUUGCCUUGCUAAUCCCAAGUAAGAAGUGACUGGGUGGGGGGUUGCGGGGAGGGGUCUUGGUUUUGGGUAGAAGCACACAUUCCUGCAGACAGCUAGUUGUUUUAUAGAAAUGUUAGGUUUCAUGUGUGUUACUAUUAGGUAUAUAUAGGCUAGAUUGUGCCCACUAUCCUGGAAGGUGGCAAGUUUAGAGACGAUAGCACAAUUUUCAUGAACAUAGCACUGGGGCAUGCACUGUGAUGGGGCAGUGGAGCGCAUGCGGCUAGUUCUAGUUAGUCUAUAUUGUUUGUUUUUUCAGUCUUCUUUUUCUAGCAUGCUUUACAUAGGAGAGAAUAAAGGGCUAUUUAAUAAGCAAUCCGGAUCUCAGAGAACAUAGUAAUACUGUCUAGUUUAAAGCCUGCAGUAAAGGUACUCAGAUUUAUGGCUUUCAUGACUAACACUAAACACAUCAGCCAACAAUGUACCAAGAAAACAUGAUUUUAUGAAACAGAAUGUCACCAUAUAAUUCCAAAAAGGGCUUUGUGCUUCUCAUGUAACAUUGGGAUUGUGUAGAUUUGAACCUUAUAACUUGAAUUUUAAAGAUAGUAGCAUUUUGAAGAUGCUUAAUAACCUUUUUAGGAAUAUGGAGAUAAAGAUUGUUUUUCUGAUUUUCUUCCAUCUGAAGUUUGACUUUUAUACCCAGCCAGAAGUUACAAAAUGAUGACCCACUCUGGGUAUAAGCUUGAUUUCCUUUGUUGAGACUUACCCUUCAUUGAAGAGAAAAAGAAGACAGUCAAAAAAGGUCCAGGUUACAAAGUUCUCCUCAUAGGUGGAAAGGUUUACUGCAGUGUUAUCCUCUAAGUGUGAUAAACUGUGCUUUACCGCUCCGAACACUCAGGACUCCGUGUGUAUCAGUGUGGGCUCCUCAGUAAGGAAGAGGAGCUCAAAGUUUGUGUGUAUUAAUAUGAAUUAGCUAACGUGAACUAUGUUUUGGAAAGUUACAACUACUUUUACAUUAAGGAUGAGAAACUGGAGUGUUUUUGAUUUCAUGGUAAAAGUUUGUGUGUUUUACAUUUGAAUGUUCACAGUUUUCUCUCAGAGAAGUGCCAGACAUUGUUUUGUGCUUUUGAAGAAGUUUUAUUUAUAUGCAUUAUUUUUAUUGUUUUUACUUUGACUGGAAUGUUUAUUGUGAACUGUAUUUAUUUUUAUACUUUGAUUUUCACUAGUUUUGCUUUUAUGUAAAAGUCAAAAUAAACUUUUCAUCCU